This 65-nucleotide transfer RNA is filed under the name Eutreptiella gymnastica. It matches the Rfam family "tRNA", at positions 6 to 65 of the family's 71-position model. Rfam says of the family: Transfer RNA (tRNA) molecules are approximately 80 nucleotides in length. Their secondary structure includes four short double-helical elements and three loops (D, anti-codon, and T loops). Lineage: Eukaryota; Euglenozoa; Euglenophyceae; Eutreptiales; Eutreptiaceae. The record is from RNAcentral.
UAUUAGCUCAGCUGGUUAGAGCGCACCCCUGAUAAGGGUGAGGUCGCUGGUUCAAGUCCAGCAUG